CGGCAGCAGCGGCAGCAGCAGCAGCAGCAGCGCGGCGGGGCCGGGACGGGGCGCUCUCCGGUGGCGGCUCCCCGGCCGCCGUCCCGUCGCUUCGCAUCCCUCGGUGAAGUUCAUGCCGCUACAACAUGUCCACCUUAUACGUUGUCACACACACACACCUCUCUGUGAGCCACACCUGGACACGUCCCCAUCGCUCUGGUGUUUCCAUCACACAGCGGUGGAAUAAGGUGUGGUACAAACCACAAGAAUAAAGCACACGGCCAGCAGCGUGUUUGGCCAUCAUCAAAUCAAUGGGUCCAGCUGCAAGGUGCCAAAGGGCAGGAACAGCCCAAUGAAGUGAGCCCAGGUUUUGCCUCCUGAUACCACCAAGGGCAAACGCAGCAGGAGGGAAGCUCCUGCCUCCCUCUUUCUGUGUGUGAUAGCACACAGAGAGCUCCUUUCGAGUUCAGUAUAGCUCGUGUUCUGCUUCCUGCACACAGCCCAGUUUCUCCACUCUUGCCAAUGUGUUUGGUGAAACCUUCAGAGUGAAAUAAAAUAAAAUUUCAAUUGCCGUUUCCCA
Non-coding RNA from Coturnix japonica (Japanese quail), 559 nucleotides. The record is from RefSeq and is a predicted model, not a curated record. NCBI's taxonomy places the organism in Eukaryota, Metazoa, Chordata, Aves, Galliformes, Phasianidae.